This 903-nucleotide ribosomal RNA is filed under the name uncultured archaeon. RNAcentral describes it as "bacterial SSU rRNA". It matches the Rfam family "Archaeal small subunit ribosomal RNA", at positions 5 to 879 of the family's 1478-position model. The record is from RNAcentral.
CGGUUGAUCCUGCCGGACCCUACCGCUAUCGGGUUAGGACUAAAACAUGCUAGUCGAUCGUCUCUAAACUUUAUCUUGAUAAGACGCGGCGUGCGGCUCAGUAACACGUGGCUAAUCUACCCUUAGGACGGGGACAACCCCGGGAAACUGGGGCUAAUCCCCGAUAGGUGAGGGGGUCUGGAAUGACCCCUCACCCAAAAGACGUUGAAACCAUGCUUUUCAACGUCGCCUAAGGAUGAAGCCGCGGCCGAUCAGGUUGUUGGUGAGGCAAAGGCUCACCAAACCUAUAACCGGUACGGGCCAUGAGAGUGGGAGCCCGGAGAUGGGCACUGAGACAAGGGCCCAGGCCCUACGGGGCGCAGCAGUUGCGAAAACUCCACAAUGCACGAAAGUGCGAUGGGGCUAACCCGAGUGCCGUCCGCUGAGGAUGGCUUUUCUCCGCUGUAAGGAGGCGGAGGAAUAAGGAGAGGGCAAGACUGGUGUCAGCCGCCGCGGUAAUACCAGCUCUCCGAGUGGUAGGGACGAUUAUUGGGCCUAAAGCGUCCGUAGCCGGCCUGGCAAGUCUCUCGUUAAAUCCAGCGACCCAAUCGCUGGGCUGCGAGAGAUACUGUCAGGCUUGGGAGCGGUAGAAGCCGACGGUAUUCUCGGGGUAGGGGUGAAAUCCUAUAAUCCCGGGAGGACCACCAGUGGCGAAGGCUGUCGGCUAGAACGCGUCCGACGGUGAGGGACGAAAGCUGGGGGAGCGAACCGGAUUAGAUACCCGGGUAGUCCCAGCUGUAAACGAUGCGGGCUAGGUGUUGGAGUGGCUACGAGCCACUCCAGUGCCGCAGGGAAGCCAUUAAGCCCGCCGCCUGGGAAGUACGGCCGCAAGGCUGAAACUUAAAGGAAUUGGCGGGGGAGCAC